Long non-coding RNA from Rosa chinensis, 344 nucleotides. RefSeq lists it as uncharacterized. The record is from RefSeq and is a predicted model, not a curated record. The transcript is spliced from 2 exons. Lineage: Eukaryota; Viridiplantae; Streptophyta; Magnoliopsida; Rosales; Rosaceae.
CUGAUCUUGCACCCAGGAGAGAAGAGAAUUGAGAGAAGAGUCAUAAAGAUUACUUGGAUGUGGAUUUUGUUUUAUGAGGUGAUAGAAGAAUUACGAAUUAAUGAAAUCUCAGCAAGUGUCAAGUUCUACUGCAUUUAAAAUUGCAAGGGAAGAAUAUCAUACAGAUUAUGACAUUUGCUUGAAUUGGUAUUGUAUUCAUUUGCUCUACUUGCAGAUUACUUGGAUGUGGAUUUUGUUUUAUGAGGUGAUAGAAGAAUUAUGAAUUAAUGAAAUCUCGAUCAGCUAGUGUCAAGUUCUGCUGCAUUUAAAAUUGCAAGGGAAGAAUAAAAAACCUCAUUGGUGUU